AUUGAACGCUGGCGGCAGGCCUAACACAUGCAAGUCGAGCGGAUGAAGGGGGCUUGCUCCUGGAUUCAGCGGCGGACGGGUGAGUAACGCCUAGGAAUCUGCCUGGUAGUGGGGGAUAACGUCCGGAAACGGGCGCUAAUACCGCAUACGUCCUGAGGGAGAAAGUGGGGGAUCUUCGGACCUCACGCUAUCAGAUGAGCCUAGGUCGGAUUAGCUAGUUGGUGGGGUAAAGGCCUACCAAGGCGACGAUCCGUAACUGGUCUGAGAGGAUGAUCAGUCACACUGGAACUGAGACACGGUCCAGACUCCUACGGGAGGCAGCAGUGGGGAAUAUUGGACAAUGGGCGAAAGCCUGAUCCAGCCAUGCCGCGUGUGUGAAGAAGGUCUUCGGAUUGUAAAGCACUUUAAGUUGGGAGGAAGGGCAGUAAGUUAAUACCUUGCUGUUUUGACGUUACCAACAGAAUAAGCACCGGCUAACUUCGUG
This 484-nucleotide ribosomal RNA is filed under the name uncultured bacterium. Its description in RNAcentral is "partial 16S ribosomal RNA". It matches the Rfam family "Bacterial small subunit ribosomal RNA", at positions 30 to 507 of the family's 1533-position model. The record is from RNAcentral.